Fructobacillus fructosus KCTC 3544 is the source of this 179-nucleotide non-coding RNA. The record is from Rfam. NCBI's taxonomy places the organism in Bacteria, Bacillati, Bacillota, Bacilli, Lactobacillales, Lactobacillaceae.
AGACAUCGAAGAGGUUGCAACCGCGAUGAGUAAGUUAGUCGAGUUCCUGUGUGGACAACGACGCUAACCGAAAGGCAAGGUUGCCGAAGCGCUUCAGCUACACAGGCUGGGGUAAGCUGGGACAUCGUUCAAUAGGCGAUGGACUGUCACGAUUUAAUCGUGUUGCGCUUUCGACAUUU